CCCACAACGCGCAUUUCACACGCCAAUUCACUCUUUUUCCCUUCAAUUUCGCCCCUCUCACUUUCAGAUAUCUACGAAUCAUUGUACACCAUCUUCACAUCUUCCCAACCAUAUUCUCCUCACCUCAAAACAUCUCUAUAUCUCCUCAUAUUACCUUCAUUGAGAUCUCCCAAGAAUUUUUCAAGAACAAGGGUUUUGAACAAGAAGUCGACAUAAAGGGCUACGGGGAUAAUGGGCCGUCACCAUCACCACCACCACCACCACCAGCAUGGAUGCGAGAGUCCAUACGAUGAUCCUCUGCUGGCAUGUUGUUGCUGCCCUUGCUUCCUAGUUUCCUCCAUUUUCAGGAUGAUGGGGAGAUGCCUCUUUGUAGCCUGUUAUCCUGUGCUGCAGUGCUUUGGUUUGGAUGACUGCAGACACCACCAUCACCACCACAAGCAUUUCUACUGACCACUCAUCACAUCCUUCCAUCUUACACCGUCCCACAAUUUUUUUUUUUAAAUAUUUUGUUGAAUUUUUAGGUGUGUUUAAUUUGGCAAUUGAAUUCUUUAUGUGAAAAUUAGGGCUUCAUUAUUUGGUAACUUUUUUUUUUUUUGAUUUAUUUAUUCGGAUGUCGAAGAUCAAGAGACGUAAACGUUAACUCAAUAUUAUAUUUUAAUCAAAUCAGUCCAAUUUUUUUAAUA
Long non-coding RNA from Sesamum indicum (sesame), 683 nucleotides. RefSeq lists it as uncharacterized. NCBI's taxonomy places the organism in Eukaryota, Viridiplantae, Streptophyta, Magnoliopsida, Lamiales, Pedaliaceae. The record is from RefSeq and is a predicted model, not a curated record.